UUAAGCGACUAAGCGUACACGGUGGAUGCCCUGGCAGUCAGAGGCGAUGAAGGACGUGCUAAUCUGCGAUAAGCGUCGGUAAGGUGAUAUGAACCGUUAUAACCGGCGAUUUCCGAAUGGGGAAACCCAGUGUGUUUCGACACACUAUCAUUAACUGAAUCCAUAGGUUAAUGAGGCGAACCGGGGGAACUGAAACAUCUAAGUACCCCGAGGAAAAGAAAUCAACCGAGAUUCCCCCAGUAGCGGCGAGCGAACGGGGAGGAGCCCAGAGCCUGAAUCAGUGUGUGUGUUAGUGGAAGCGUCUGGAAAGGCGCGCGAUACAGGGUGACAGCCCCGUACACAAAAAUGCACAUGCUGUGAGCUCGAUGAGUAGGGCGGGACACGUGGUAUCCUGUCUGAAUAUGGGGGGACCAUCCUCCAAGGCUAAAUACUCCUGACUGACCGAUAGUGAACCAGUACCGUGAGGGAAAGGCGAAAAGAACCCCGGCGAGGGGAGUGAAAAAGAACCUGAAACCGUGUACGUACAAGCAGUGGGAGCCUCUUAAUGGGGUGACUGCGUACCUUUUGUAUAAUGGGUCAGCGACUUAUAUUCUGUAGCAAGGUUAACCGAAUAGGGGAGCCGAAGGGAAACCGAGUCUUAACUGGGCGUUAAGUUGCAGGGUAUAGACCCGAAACCCGGUGAUCUAGCCAUGGGCAGGUUGAAGGUUGGGUAACACUAACUGGAGGACCGAACCGACUAAUGUUGAAAAAUUAGCGGAUGACUUGUGGCUGGGGGUGAAAGGCCAAUCAAACCGGGAGAUAGCUGGUUCUCCCCGAAAGCUAUUUAGGUAGCGCCUCGUGAAUUCAUCUCCGGGGGUAGAGCACUGUUUCGGCAAGGGGGUCAUCCCGACUUACCAACCCGAUGCAAACUGCGAAUACCGGAGAAUGUUAUCACGGGAGACACACGGCGGGUGCUAACGUCCGUCGUGAAGAGGGAAACAACCCAGACCGCCAGCUAAGGUCCCAAAGUCAUGGUUAAGUGGGAAACGAUGUGGGAAGGCCCAGACAGCCAGGAUGUUGGCUUAGAAGCAGCCAUCAUUUAAAGAAAGCGUAAUAGCUCACUGGUCGAGUCGGCCUGCGCGGAAGAUGUAACGGGGCUAAACCAUGCACCGAAGCUGCGGCAGCGACACUAUGUGUUGUUGGGUAGGGGAGCGUUCUGUAAGCCUGUGAAGGUGGCCUGUGAGGGUUGCUGGAGGUAUCAGAAGUGCGAAUGCUGACAUAAGUAACGAUAAAGCGGGUGAAAAGCCCGCUCGCCGGAAGACCAAGGGUUCCUGUCCAACGUUAAUCGGGGCAGGGUGAGUCGACCCCUAAGGCGAGGCCGAAAGGCGUAGUCGAUGGGAAACAGGUUAAUAUUCCUGUACUUGGUGUUACUGCGAAGGGGGGACGGAGAAGGCUAUGUUGGCCGGGCGACGGUUGUCCCGGUUUAAGCGUGUAGGCUGGUUUUCCAGGCAAAUCCGGAAAACCAAGGCUGAGGCGUGAUGACGAGGCACUACGGUGCUGAAGUGACAAAUGCCCUGCUUCCAGGAAAAGCCUCUAAGCAUCAGGUAACAUCAAAUCGUACCCCAAACCGACACAGGUGGUCAGGUAGAGAAUACCAAGGCGCUUGAGAGAACUCGGGUGAAGGAACUAGGCAAAAUGGUGCCGUAACUUCGGGAGAAGGCACGCUGAUAUGUAGGUGAAGCGACUUGCUCGUGGAGCUGAAAUCAGUCGAAGAUACCAGCUGGCUGCAACUGUUUAUUAAAAACACAGCACUGUGCAAACACGAAAGUGGACGUAUACGGUGUGACGCCUGCCCGGUGCCGGAAGGUUAAUUGAUGGGGUUAGCGGUAACGCGAAGCUCUUGAUCGAAGCCCCGGUAAACGGCGGCCGUAACUAUAACGGUCCUAAGGUAGCGAAAUUCCUUGUCGGGUAAGUUCCGACCUGCACGAAUGGCGUAAUGAUGGCCAGGCUGUCUCCACCCGAGACUCAGUGAAAUUGAACUCGCUGUGAAGAUGCAGUGUACCCGCGGCAAGACGGAAAGACCCCGUGAACCUUUACUAUAGCUUGACACUGAACAUUGAGCCUUGAUGUGUAGGAUAGGUGGGAGGCUUUGAAGUGUGGACGCCAGUCUGCAUGGAGCCGACCUUGAAAUACCACCCUUUAAUGUUUGAUGUUCUAACGUUGGCCCCUAAUCGGGGUUGCGGACAGUGUCUGGUGGGUAGUUUGACUGGGGCGGUCUCCUCCUAAAGAGUAACGGAGGAGCACGAAGGUUGGCUAAUCCUGGUCGGACAUCAGGAGGUUAGUGCAAUGGCAUAAGCCAGCUUGACUGCGAGCGUGACGGCGCGAGCAGGUGCGAAAGCAGGUCAUAGUGAUCCGGUGGUUCUGAAUGGAAGGGCCAUCGCUCAACGGAUAAAAGGUACUCCGGGGAUAACAGGCUGAUACCGCCCAAGAGUUCAUAUCGACGGCGGUGUUUGGCACCUCGAUGUCGGCUCAUCACAUCCUGGGGCUGAAGUAGGUCCCAAGGGUAUGGCUGUUCGCCAUUUAAAGUGGUACGCGAGCUGGGUUUAGAACGUCGUGAGACAGUUCGGUCCCUAUCUGCCGUGGGCGCUGGAGAACUGAGGGGGGCUGCUCCUAGUACGAGAGGACCGGAGUGGACGCAUCACUGGUGUUCGGGUUGUCAUGCCAAUGGCACUGCCCGGUAGCUAAAUGCGGAAGAGAUAAGUGCUGAAAGCAUCUAAGCACGAAACUUGCCCCGAGAUGAGUUCUCCCUGAGACUUAGAGUCUCCUGAAGGAACGUUGAAGACGACGACGUUGAUAGGCCGGGUGUGUAAGCGCAGCGAUGCGUUGAGCUAACCGGUACUAAUGAACCGUGAGGCUUAACCUU
RNAcentral lists this ribosomal RNA (2902 nucleotides) under Escherichia coli. RNAcentral describes it as "bacterial LSU rRNA". It matches the Rfam family "Bacterial large subunit ribosomal RNA". RNAcentral also lists the same sequence under 2 other names. The record is from RNAcentral. Lineage: Bacteria; Pseudomonadati; Pseudomonadota; Gammaproteobacteria; Enterobacterales; Enterobacteriaceae.